Molecule: transfer RNA, 75 nt
Filed under: synthetic construct
Description: tRNA-Ala
Source: RNAcentral
GGGGCUAACUGUAGCUGGGACAGAGCCUGCUUCUAACGCAGGCGUUUUGCGGUUCGAUCCCGCAUAGCUCCACCA